GAUGAACGCUGGCGGCGUGCCUAAUACAUGCAAGUCGAGCGAACAGACAAGAAGCUUGUUCUCCUGACGUUGGCGGCGGACGGGUGAGUAACACAUGCAUAACAUACCUAUUAGACUGGGAUAACUUCGGGAAGAAAGAUACAAUAACAGAUAAUACAUCGUACCGCAUGAUUCAAUAGUGAUAGACAGUUUUCCCGUUACUAAUAGAUGGUUCCGGGUCGCAUUAGCUAGUUGGUAAGGUAACGGCCUACCAAGGCAACGAUGCGUAGCCGACCUGAGAGGAUGAUCGGCCACACUGGAACUGAGACACGGUCCAGACUCCUACGGGAGGCAGCAGUGGGGAAUAUUCGGCAAUGGGCGAAAGCCUGACGCAGCAACACCGCGUGAGUGAUGAAGGUCUUCGGGUCGUAAAGCUCUGUUGUUGGGAAAGAACAGAUGUAUAAUUAACUAUGCACGUCUUGACGGUACCUAAACAGAAAGCCACGGCUAACUACGUG
This 497-nucleotide ribosomal RNA is filed under the name uncultured bacterium. Its description in RNAcentral is "partial 16S ribosomal RNA". It matches the Rfam family "Bacterial small subunit ribosomal RNA", at positions 28 to 507 of the family's 1533-position model. The record is from RNAcentral.